This 484-nucleotide ribosomal RNA is filed under the name uncultured bacterium. RNAcentral's name for it is "partial 16S ribosomal RNA". It matches the Rfam family "Bacterial small subunit ribosomal RNA", at positions 30 to 507 of the family's 1533-position model. The record is from RNAcentral.
AUUGAACGCUGGCGGCAGGCCUAACACAUGCAAGUCGAGCGGAUGAAGGGAGCUUGCUCCUGGAUUCAGCGGCGGACGGGUGAGUAAUGCCUAGGAAUCUGCCUGGUAGUGGGGGAUAACGUCCGGAAACGGGCGCUAAUACCGCAUACGUCCUGAGGGAGAAAGUGGGGGAUCUUCGGACCUCACGCUAUCAGAUGAGCCUAGGUCGGAUUAGCUAGUUGGCGGGGUAAAGGCCUACCAAGGCGACGAUCCGUAACUGGUCUGAGAGGAUGAUCAGUCACACUGGAACUGAGACACGGUCCAGACUCCUACGGGAGGCAGCAGUGGGGAAUAUUGGACAAUGGGCGAAAGCCUGAUCCAGCCAUGCCGCGUGUGUGAAGAAGGUCUUCGGAUUGUAAAGCACUUUAAGUUGGGAGGAAGGGCAGUAAGUUAAUACCUUGCUGUCUUGACGUUACCAACAGAAUAAGCACCGGCUAACUUCGUG